RNAcentral lists this ribosomal RNA (256 nucleotides) under uncultured bacterium. Its description in RNAcentral is "partial 16S ribosomal RNA". It matches the Rfam family "Bacterial small subunit ribosomal RNA", at positions 99 to 353 of the family's 1533-position model. The record is from RNAcentral.
CGGACGGGUGAGUAACGCGUGGGUAACCUGCCCUGUACAGGGGGAUAACAGUCAGAAAUGGCUGCUAAUACCGCAUAAGCGCACAGAGCUGCAUGGCUCAGUGUGAAAAACUCCGGUGGUAUAAGAUGGACCCGCGUUGGAUUAGCUUGUUGGUGGGGUAACGGCCCACCAAGGCGACGAUGCGUAGCCGACCUGAGAGGGUGACCGGCCACACUGGGACUGAGACACGGCCCAGACUCCUACGGGAGGCAGCAUG